Molecule: ribosomal RNA, 229 nt
Filed under: uncultured bacterium
Lineage: Bacteria
Description: partial 16S ribosomal RNA
Rfam family: Bacterial small subunit ribosomal RNA
Source: RNAcentral
UGCGUAGGCGGAAUAUUAAGUCAGUGGUGAAAUCCUGCGGCUCAACCGUAGAACUGCCGUUGAUACUGAUAUUCUUGAAUGUAGUUGAGGUAGGCGGAAUGUGUAAUGUAGCGGUGAAAUGCUUAGAUAUUACACAGAACACCGAUUGCGAAGGCAGCUUACUAAACUAUGAUUGACGCUGAGGCACGAAAGCGUGGGGAGCGAACAGGAUUAGAUACCCUGGUAGUCC